RNAcentral lists this unclassified non-coding RNA (158 nucleotides) under uncultured Chaetomiaceae. RNAcentral's name for it is "sequence contains ITS1". The record is from RNAcentral. Lineage: Eukaryota; Fungi; Ascomycota; Sordariomycetes; Sordariales.
CAGAGUUUAACCACUCAAAACCAUUGUGAACCUUACCUCAACCGUUGCUUCGGCGGGCGGGCCCCAAAAGCCCCCCCGGCCCCUCGCGGGCGCCCGCCGGAGGUAAAUCGAACCCUUGAAUUGUAUGGCCUCUCUGAGUCUUUGUACUUAAUAAGUCA